This 405-nucleotide ribosomal RNA is filed under the name uncultured bacterium. RNAcentral's name for it is "partial 16S ribosomal RNA". It matches the Rfam family "Bacterial small subunit ribosomal RNA", at positions 29 to 525 of the family's 1533-position model. The record is from RNAcentral.
AUUGAACGCUGGCGGCAGGCUUAACACAUGCAAGUCGAGCGAGCGGCGGACGGGUGAGUAAUGUCUGGGAAACUGCCUGAUGGAGGGGGAUAACUACUGGAAACGGUAGCUAAUACCGCAUACCAUCAGAUGUGCCCAGAUGGGAUUAGCUUGUUGGUGGGGUAAUGGCUCACCAAGGCGACGAUCCCUAGCUGGUCUGAGAGGAUGACCGGCCACACUGGAACUGAGACAGGGCCCAGACCCCUACGGGAGGAAGCAGGGGGGAAUAUUGCAAAAUGGGCGCAGGCCUGAGGCAGCCAGGCCGGGUGUGUGAAGAAGGCCUUCGGGUGGAAAAGAACUUUCAGCGAGGAGACGUUACUCGAAGAAGAAGCACCGGCUAACCCCGUGCCAGCAGCCGCGGUAAUU